AUACUUAACCUAGCAGGGGAGGUACCAUGAUCAUGAAGGUGGUUUUCCCAGGGCGAGGCUUAUCCAUUGCACUCCAGAUGUGCUGACCCCUGUGAUUUCCCCAAAUGCGGGAAACUCGACUGCAUAAUUUGUGGUAGUGGGAGACCGUUCACGCUCUCCCC
This 161-nucleotide small nuclear RNA is filed under the name Jaculus jaculus (lesser Egyptian jerboa). RNAcentral describes it as "U1 spliceosomal RNA (ENSJJAG00000006920.1)". It matches the Rfam family "U1 spliceosomal RNA". From Rfam's summary of the family: U1 is a small nuclear RNA (snRNA) component of the spliceosome (involved in pre-mRNA splicing). Its 5' end forms complementary base pairs with the 5' splice junction, thus defining the 5' donor site of an intron. Lineage: Eukaryota; Metazoa; Chordata; Mammalia; Rodentia; Dipodidae. The record is from Rfam by way of RNAcentral.